UACAGGGGGUGCAAACGUUGCUCGGAAUCAUUGGGCGUAAAGCGCACGUAGGCGGUUCGUUAUGUCGGAUGUGAAAGCCCUUGGCUUAACCGAGGAAGUGCAUCCGAAACUGGCGAGCUAGAGUACUAAAGAGGAUCGCGGAAUUCCCGGUGUAGAGGUGAAAUUCGUAGAUAUCGGGAGGAACACCGGUGGCGAAGGCGGCGAUCUGGGUCGGUAUUGACGCUGAGGCGCGAAAGCCAGGGGAGCAAACGGG
Molecule: ribosomal RNA, 253 nt
Filed under: uncultured bacterium
Lineage: Bacteria
Description: partial 16S ribosomal RNA
Rfam family: Bacterial small subunit ribosomal RNA
Source: RNAcentral